This 292-nucleotide ribosomal RNA is filed under the name uncultured bacterium. RNAcentral's name for it is "partial 16S ribosomal RNA". It matches the Rfam family "Bacterial small subunit ribosomal RNA", at positions 505 to 796 of the family's 1533-position model. The record is from RNAcentral.
GUGUCAGCCGCCGCGGUAAUACGUAGGGUGCAAGCGUUGUCCGGAAUUAUUGGGCGUAAAGAGCUCGUAGGCGGCUUGUCACGUCGGAUGUGAAAAUCCAGGGCUCAACCCUGGACCUGCAUUCGAUACGGGCUAGCUAGAGUAUGGUAGGGGAGACUGGAAUUCCUGGUGUAGCGGUGAAAUGCGCAGAUAUCAGGAGGAACACCGGUGGCGAAGGCGGGUCUCUGGGCCAUAACUGACGCUGAGGAGCGAAAGCGUGGGGAGCGAACAGGAUUAGAAACCCCCGUAGUCC